UUGUAAAAAUAAUUCACAACAAAAAAAAUGAACCACGAAAUCAGAAUUACGAACGGACCUCAAACUCUAACUUCUUGUCUCAAUUUUUCCCAGUUGGCGUACGUUUCCUCUUGUUUAUUGUGGUUUUCUCUUUUGUUUUGUUAUGCUCCUCAAAUGUUAGUCUUUCUUUGUUUUCUAAGUGUUUUUGUUUUUGUCCCCUUGUGUUGUCCCCCUUCCGUGUGUUGUGGUGUGAGUAGUAUAUAGAGGUAUAGGGUGGGAAGUUGAGAGAGUU
RNAcentral lists this long non-coding RNA (271 nucleotides) under Capsicum annuum. Its description in RNAcentral is "long non-coding RNA (CANN_LNC005880)". Lineage: Eukaryota; Viridiplantae; Streptophyta; Magnoliopsida; Solanales; Solanaceae. The record is from RNAcentral.